This 883-nucleotide ribosomal RNA is filed under the name uncultured bacterium. Its description in RNAcentral is "bacterial SSU rRNA". It matches the Rfam family "Bacterial small subunit ribosomal RNA", at positions 26 to 906 of the family's 1533-position model. The record is from RNAcentral.
AGAUUGAACGCUGGCGGAAUGCUUUACACAUGCAAGUCGAGCGGCAGCGCGGGGCAACCUGGCGGCGAGCGGCGAACGGGUGAGUAGUGCAUCGGAACAUGUCCAUGUCGUGGGGGAUAGCCCGGCGAAAGCCGGAUUAAUACCGCAUACGCCCGAGAGGGGAAAGUGGGGGACCGCAAGGCCUCACGCGAUUGGGUUGGCCGAUGUCCGAUUAGCUAGUUGGCGGGGUAAAGGCCCACCAAGGCGAUGAUCGGUAGCUGGUCUGAGAGGAUGAUCAGCCACACUGGGACUGAGACACGGCCCAGACUCCUACGGGAGGCAGCAGUGGGGAAUUUUGGACAAUGGGGGCAACCCUGAUCCAGCCAUUCCGCGUGAGUGAAGAAGGCCUUCGGGUUGUAAAGCUCUUUUGUCCGGAACGAAAUGGCGUGCGUGAAUAUCGCGCGCUUCUGACGGUACCGGAAGAAUAAGCACCGGCUAACUACGUGCCAGCAGCCGCGGUAAUACGUAGGGUGCGAGCGUUAAUCGGAAUUACUGGGCGUAAAGCGUGCGCAGGCGGUUUUGUAAGCCAGAUGUGAAAUCCCCGGGCUUAACCUGGGAAUGGCAUUUGGGACUGCAAGGCCUGAGUGCGGCAGAGGAGACUGGAAUUCCUGGUGUAGCAGUGAAAUGCGUAGAUAUCAGGAGGAACACCGAUGGCGAAGGCAGGUCUCUGGGCUGACACUGACGCUCAUGCACGAAAGCGUGGGGAGCAAACAGGAUUAGAUACCCUGGUAGUCCACGCCCUAAACGAUGUCGACUGGUUGUUGGGGGUUUGACACUCUCAGUAACGAAGCUAACGCAUGAAGUCGACCGCCUGGGGAGUACGGCCGCAAGGUUAAACUCAAAG